Molecule: ribosomal RNA, 352 nt
Filed under: uncultured Lactococcus sp.
Lineage: Bacteria; Bacillati; Bacillota; Bacilli; Lactobacillales; Streptococcaceae
Description: bacterial SSU rRNA
Rfam family: Bacterial small subunit ribosomal RNA
Source: RNAcentral
GGUAAUACGUAGGUGGCAAGCGUUGUCCGGAUUUAUUGGGCGUAAAGCGAGCGCAGGCGGAAUGAUAAGUCUGAUGUGAAAGCCCACGGCUCAACCGUGGAACUGCAUCGGAAACUGUCAUUCUUGAGUGCAGAAGAGGAGAGUGGAACUCCAUGUGUAGCGGUGGAAUGCGUAGAUAUAUGGAAGAACACCAGUGGCGAAGGCGGCUCUCUGGUCUGCAACUGACGCUGAGGCUCGAAAGCAUGGGUAGCGAACAGGAUUAGAUACCCUGGUAGUCCAUGCCGUAAACGAUGAGCGCUAGGUGUUGGGGACUUUCCAGUCCUCAGUGCCGCAGCAAACGUCGACGCGGCCG